This 1351-nucleotide ribosomal RNA is filed under the name uncultured archaeon. Its description in RNAcentral is "bacterial SSU rRNA". It matches the Rfam family "Archaeal small subunit ribosomal RNA". The record is from RNAcentral.
UCCGGUUGAUCCUGCCGGAGGACAUUGCUAUUGGGAUUCGAUUUAGCCAUGCUAGUCGAACGAGUUCACACUCGUGGCACAUAGCUCAGUAACACGUGGCCAAGUUACCCUUCAGUCGGCAAUACCCUCGGGAAACUGAGGCUAAUAGCCGAUACGAAACAGACGCUGGAAUGCACUGUAUUCCAAAGACAUCGCUGAAGGAUGCGGCUGCGGCCGAUUAGGUAGACGGUGGGGUAACGGCCCACCGUGCCAGUAAUCGGUACGGGUGAUGAGAGUCAGAGCCCGGAGACGGAAUCUGAGACAAGAUUCCGGGCCCUACGGGGCGCAGCAGGCGCGAAACCUUUACACUGCACGAAAGUGCGAUAGGGGAAUCCCAAGUGCGAGGGCAUAUUAGCCCUCGCUUUUGUUGACUCUAAGGCGGUCAACGAAUAAGAGCUGGGCAAGACCGGUGCCAGCCGCCGCGGUAAUACCGGCAGCCCGAGUGAUGGCCGAUCUUAUUGGGCCUAAAGCGUCCGUAGCUGGCUGCGCAAGUCCGUCGGGAAAUCCACUCGCCCAACGAGUGGGCGUCCGACGGAAACUGCACAGCUUGGGACCGGAAGGCUCGAAGGGUACGUUCGGGGUAGGAGUGAAAUCCCAUAAUCCCGCACGGACCACCGAUGGCGAAAGCACUUCGAGAAAACGGAUCCGACAGUGAGGGACGAAAGCCAGGGUCUCCAACCGGAUUAGAUACCCGGGUAGUCCUGGCCGUAAACAAUGUUCGCUAGGUAUGACACAGACUACGCGUCUCUGUUGUGCCGUAGGGAAGCCGAGAAGCGAACCGCCUGGGAAGUACGUCUGCAAGGAUGAAACUUAAAGGAAUUGGCGGGGGAGCACUACAACCGGAGGAGCCUGCGGUUUAAUUGGACUCAACGCCGGACAUCUCACCAGCUCCGACUACAGUGAUGACGACCAGGUUGAUGACCUCAUCACGACGCUGUAGAGAGGAGGUGCAUGGCCGCCGUCAGCUCGUACCGUGAGGCGUCCUGUUAAGUCAGGCAACGAGCGAGACCCGCACCCCUAAUUGCCAGCAACAGUUUCGACUGGUUGGGUACAUUAGGAGGACUGCCAGUGUUAAACUGGAGGAAGGAACGGGCAACGGUAGGUCAGUAUGCCCCGAAUGAGCUGGGCAACACGCGGGCUACAAUGGCUAAGACAAUGGGUCGCUAUCUCGACAGAGAACGCUAAUCUCGAAACUUAGUCGUAGUUCGGAUUGAGGGCUGAAACUCGCCCUCAUGAAGCUGGAUUCGGUAGUAGCCGCCUUUCAGUAGAAGGCGACGAAUACGUCCCUGCUCCUUGUACACACCGCCCGUCA